UUGCUCACUGCAGUAGCAUGCAUGCUAAGACUGGAACGAAACGGGGAUUAGCAUGGCCCCUACGCAAGGAUGACAAUAAAUUUGUAAAGGGUCCCAUGUGUUU
Small nuclear RNA from Cervus hanglu yarkandensis (Yarkand deer), 103 nucleotides. Lineage: Eukaryota; Metazoa; Chordata; Mammalia; Artiodactyla; Cervidae. The record is from Ensembl.